This 1456-nucleotide long non-coding RNA is filed under the name Oreochromis niloticus (Nile tilapia). Its description in RNAcentral is "lncRNA (ENSONIG00000036738.1)". The record is from RNAcentral. Lineage: Eukaryota; Metazoa; Chordata; Actinopteri; Cichliformes; Cichlidae.
AUAAAUGGGGAAAAGGGGAAAUGGACCAAAAUAAUCAAUACAACACACAACAUAAAUAAAUGCCCACAAUCAAAUAAUUGUGUAACAAAUAAUAAAUCAAUUGCUGUGAUUUCCUGUGCAACAGUCCUUUUGUUAAGAGUCCUUUUCGGUCCUUUUCUUUUUAAAGUUCACUUUUUAAGGUAUUCCUCCUUAGGGUCCAGUUUCAUACAAUGGGGAAAAAAUAUGUCCGUAAUCCAUAGACGGCAAAGCGGGGGAAAAAAAAAAAACAAAGAAUGGUCCUACCGGCUCGCCACUUCAAUAUGAAGAAGAUCAAUUUAAAGGGAAAAAAAAAACCUGACCUGUAGGCCAGAAAAAUAUCCAUUAGUAAAUCAAAAUCAAUUCAGUUUACCGGUAAACAAAUACAUUUUUCGGCAAGUCUAUGUAACAAUGCAAAUCAUCAUCAUCAUCAAUCACAAAUGUACAACAGUUAAAUUAGUAAUCAUCUUGGCUACGUAGCUUAAUCUAUAUAUUCCAGUAGCGUUCGCUACAAACAAAUACAAAAAUAACAAUAAAGGAAAACAACUGUCUAACAGACAGCAUAGCCGAAUUCAAGGCAACACAUAACAAUAAUCAUUUAAUUGCACUUUGUUUCAAAGUAAGCCCAUUAAAGCGCUUAAGGAAAUAAAGGUGUUCAAAAACAGCGGUUUUUGAACCGGAGUUCUGCUCGCGGUGGGAACGCCGCCGAACAAAGUCAUUUGUUAAUCGCGAAAACGGCCGGCUGGUUACUGACGACUAAAAGGUUGUUAUUAGUAGAUGUUAAGAACACUUACCGCUGAGGUGAUACAAUUUUAUAGACGGGUUUAGGGGAGAAAAACGCUUUGUUUUCCAACGCGGUUCCACACGACAUAAGCUUACAGCCACAGCAGGAGUCGAACCCGGAAGUAUCCCUCCACGGCCGUAUUCAUAGUUGCCGCGACGUGGAAGGAGCCAAUCAGGAGAGGGGCCUCAAAUCAGCUGGCUUGAGUCAUUUGACAGGGAGUAGUUGAUAUGGGUUACACAAGCACAAGAAAAGACAUUUAGUAUUUUCCUCCUGCCAUAGAAAUAUUAAUCACCUGCUGCUAAUUUUCAAGGAGCCACGAAUCACUGAUUAUAUUCUAAAGGCUGCUGCACAAAAUCACUAAAUUGCUUCAAAAUACAACAAACACGUUUCCAUGAAGCUUUGUAAACAGUUAAACAAACAGGUUACAUCAGCCCAGAGACAAAAUACUUACUCAGAGCAAAUGGUCACAGCAGGCCAAAGCACUUUUUCCCACAACAGUGAAAUAUUUAAAUAAAAAUACUUUAUUUAUCAUUUUAACUGACAAACUUCACUAAUGUAAAGUCAUCACUGCAAAAUCUUUGAACAUGAAGUUCAGUUCUGGUCAAAUGUUCACUUAAAUUCAGGAAGUGAGAUGAAGUCCUCCUCCCUUCCUCCUAA